Molecule: non-coding RNA, 288 nt
Organism: Vicia faba (fava bean)
Lineage: Eukaryota; Viridiplantae; Streptophyta; Magnoliopsida; Fabales; Fabaceae
Source: the annotation of a GenBank genome assembly
AUGCUUCGAUCCUCUUCAAUCUUCUUGAAGCUUAAGCACAAUCUCCAUCAUAUACCGAUUCAUCGUCUCCAUCAUACAGGGUCUUCGAUCUUCAUCCUUCUCUGCAACCUCACUCAUCAUAAUCUGAGAAUCUUGGUGGAAACUGCAGGAUUUCGGCAUCAUAUCAUCAACCUUCAUCUACUUCAUACAUCUCUAAACAUCUUCAAAUUCUCCACAAUUCUCUGCAUAAUCUUCAAUCAUCAACACCAUUUUCUACAGAAGCGCAACUGCAUCAACACUGUUCCAUAA